CUGGCAUCAUAGGGAAAAAACAAUAGCGUGAGUUUUAUCAAAGUGAUGGUCAAAUUGUGUAAUUAUUAAGAUUGUAUUAAUUAUUUCUAAAAGUGACAGUUUCAAAAGAUGACCCAGUUUAGAGUGGACAAAAUAUAAAAAAUGAGCAGAACACUUUUCUGUGGAAAAACUGCUAAAUGCAUUAAAGAUGAUAGUUAGGGUGUAUAGGAACCAACUGAUGAACAAAC
This is a non-coding RNA of Pelobates cultripes (western spadefoot toad), 227 nucleotides long. Lineage: Eukaryota; Metazoa; Chordata; Amphibia; Anura; Pelobatidae. The record is from the annotation of a GenBank genome assembly.